Molecule: ribosomal RNA, 532 nt
Filed under: Salmonella enterica
Lineage: Bacteria; Pseudomonadati; Pseudomonadota; Gammaproteobacteria; Enterobacterales; Enterobacteriaceae
Description: partial 23S ribosomal RNA
Rfam family: Bacterial large subunit ribosomal RNA
Source: RNAcentral
GGUGAUCUAGCCAUGGGCAGGUUGAAGGUUGGGUAACACUAACUGGAGGACCGAACCGACUAAUGUUGAAAAAUUAGCGGAUGACCUGUGGCUGGGGGUGAAAGGCCAAUCAAACCGGGAGAUAGCUGGUUCUCCCCGAAAGCUAUUUAGGUAGCGCCUCGUGAAUUCAUCUCCGGGGGUAGAGCACUGUUUCGGCUAGGGGGCCAUCCCGGCUUACCAACCCGAUGCAAACUGCGAAUACCGGAGAAUGUUAUCACGGGAGACACACGGCGGGUGCUAACGUCCGUCGUGAAGAGGGAAACAACCCAGACCGCCAGCUAAGGUCCCAAAGUCAUGGUUAAGUGGGAAACGAUGUGGGAAGGCCCAGACAGCCAGGAUGUUGGCUUAGAAGCAGCCAUCAUUUAAAGAAAGCGUAAUAGCUCACUGGUCGAGUCGGCCUGCGCGGAAGAUGUAACGGGGCUAAACCAUGCACCGAAGCUGCGGCAGCGAACGUAUCACCCAAGACAACUUUACGGAGUUGACGAUUGACGGA